Molecule: ribosomal RNA, 414 nt
Filed under: uncultured microorganism
Description: bacterial SSU rRNA
Rfam family: Archaeal small subunit ribosomal RNA
Source: RNAcentral
CAGCCGCCGCGGUAAUACCGGCGGCCCGAGUGGCGGUCACUCUUAUUGGGCUUAAAGCGUCCGUAGCCGGGUUGGGAAGUCCUCCGGGAAAUCUGGCCGCUUAACGGUCAGAAUGCCGGAGGAUACUCCCAGCCUAGGGAGCGGGAGAGGCCGAGGGUAUUCCCGGAGUAGGGGGGAAAUCCUAUAAUCCCGGGAGGACCACCUGUGGCGAAGGCGCUCGGCUGGGACGCGUCCGACGGUGAGGGACGAAGGCCAGGGGAGCAAACCGGAUUAGAUACCCGGGUAGUCCUGGCUGUAAACGAUGCGGACUUUGUGUCGGACAAGCUAUGAGCUUGUCCGGUGCCGGAGGGAAACCGUUAAGUCCGCCGCCUGGGGAGUACGGCCGCAAGGCUGAAACUUAAAGGAAUUGGCGGG